GUGAGACAGUUCGGUCCCUAUCUGGUGUGGGCGUUGGAUGAUUGAUGGGAGCUGCUCCUAGUACGAGAGGACCGGAGUGGACGAACCGCUGGUGUUCGGGUUGUCAUGCCAAUGGCAUUGCCCGGUAGCUAUGUUCGGAACGGAUAACCGCUGAAAGCAUCUAAGCGGGAAGCCGGCCCAAAGAUGAGUCAUCCCUGAACUUUAAGUUCUGGAAGGGUUGUUAUAGACGAUGACGUUGAUAGGCAGGGUGUGGAAGCGUUGUAAGGCGUUAAGCUAACCUGUACUAAUUGCCCGAGAGGCUU
RNAcentral lists this ribosomal RNA (302 nucleotides) under Percolomonas cosmopolitus. Its description in RNAcentral is "partial Bacterial large subunit ribosomal RNA". It matches the Rfam family "Bacterial large subunit ribosomal RNA", at positions 2621 to 2925 of the family's 2925-position model. Lineage: Eukaryota; Heterolobosea; Eutetramitea; Percolomonadida; Percolomonadidae. The record is from RNAcentral.